UAGGGCAUGGCUCAAAUGGUAGAGCACUUGCCUAACAUGCAUGAGGCCCUGAGUUCAAUCCCCAGUAAGCUAA
Molecule: transfer RNA, 73 nt
Filed under: Dipodomys ordii (Ord's kangaroo rat)
Lineage: Eukaryota; Metazoa; Chordata; Mammalia; Rodentia; Heteromyidae
Rfam family: tRNA
About the family: Transfer RNA (tRNA) molecules are approximately 80 nucleotides in length. Their secondary structure includes four short double-helical elements and three loops (D, anti-codon, and T loops).
Source: Rfam by way of RNAcentral